UACGGGGGGGAGCAAGCGUUGUUCGGAUUUACUGGGCGUAAAGGGCGCGUAGGCGGUCGUGACAAGUCACUUGUGAAAUCUCUGGGCUUAACUCGGAACGGUCAAGUGAUACUGUCGGACUAGAGUACAGAAGGGGCAACUGGAAUUCUCGGUGUAGCGGUGAAAUGCGUAGAUAUCGAGAGGAACACCUGCGGCGAAGGCGGGUUGCUGGGCUGAUACUGACGCUGAGGCGCGAAAGCCAGGGGAGCGAACGGG
This 255-nucleotide ribosomal RNA is filed under the name uncultured bacterium. RNAcentral's name for it is "partial 16S ribosomal RNA". It matches the Rfam family "Bacterial small subunit ribosomal RNA", at positions 524 to 776 of the family's 1533-position model. The record is from RNAcentral.